UACGGAGGGUGCGAGCGUUGUCCGGAAUCACUGGGCGUAAAGGGCGCGUAGGUGGCCUGUGGAAGUCUGCGGUGAAAGCCCGGCGCUCAACGCCGGGUCGGCCGUGGAUACUCUCGGGCUCGAGCUUACUAGAGGCAGAUGGAAUUCCGGGUGUAGCGGUGAAAUGCGUAGAUAUCAGGAGGAACACCUGCGGUGUAGACGGCUUACUGGACCGUAACUGACGCUGAGGCACGAAAGCGUGGGUAGCAAACAGG
This 254-nucleotide ribosomal RNA is filed under the name uncultured bacterium. RNAcentral's name for it is "partial 16S ribosomal RNA". It matches the Rfam family "Bacterial small subunit ribosomal RNA", at positions 524 to 776 of the family's 1533-position model. The record is from RNAcentral.